This 882-nucleotide ribosomal RNA is filed under the name Salmonella enterica. RNAcentral's name for it is "partial 23S ribosomal RNA". It matches the Rfam family "Bacterial large subunit ribosomal RNA", at positions 2061 to 2925 of the family's 2925-position model. Lineage: Bacteria; Pseudomonadati; Pseudomonadota; Gammaproteobacteria; Enterobacterales; Enterobacteriaceae. The record is from RNAcentral.
GCAGUGUACCCGCGGCAAGACGGAAAGACCCCGUGAACCUUUACUAUAGCUUGACACUGAACAUUGAGCCUUGAUGUGUAGGAUAGGUGGGAGGCUUUGAAGUGUGGACGCCAGUCUGCGUGGAGCCGACCUUGAAAUACCACCCUUUAAUGUUUGAUGUUCUAACGUGGACCCGUAAUCCGGGUUGCGGACAGUGUCUGGUGGGUAGUUUGACUGGGGCGGUCUCCUCCUAAAGAGUAACGGAGGAGCACGAAGGUUGGCUAAUCCUGGUCGGACAUCAGGAGGUUAGUGCAAUGGCAUAAGCCAGCUUGACUGCGAGCGUGACGGCGCGAGCAGGUGCGAAAGCAGGUCAUAGUGAUCCGGUGGUUCUGAAUGGAAGGGCCAUCGCUCAACGGAUAAAAGGUACUCCGGGGAUAACAGGCUGAUACCGCCCAAGAGUUCAUAUCGACGGCGGUGUUUGGCACCUCGAUGUCGGCUCAUCACAUCCUGGGGCUGAAGUAGGUCCCAAGGGUAUGGCUGUUCGCCAUUUAAAGUGGUACGCGAGCUGGGUUUAGAACGUCGUGAGACAGUUCGGUCCCUAUCUGCCGUGGGCGCUGGAGAACUGAGGGGGGCUGCUCCUAGUACGAGAGGACCGGAGUGGACGCAUCACUGGUGUUCGGGUUGUCAUGCCAAUGGCACUGCCCGGUAGCUAAAUGCGGAAGAGAUAAGUGCUGAAAGCAUCUAAGCACGAAACUUGCCCCGAGAUGAGUUCUCCCUGAGACUUAGAGUCUCCUGAAGGAACGUUGAAGACGACGACGUUGAUAGGCCGGGUGUGUAAGCGCAGCGAUGCGUUGAGCUAACCGGUACUAAUGAACCGUGAGGCUUAACCUUACAACGCCGAAG